This 391-nucleotide ribosomal RNA is filed under the name uncultured bacterium. RNAcentral describes it as "bacterial SSU rRNA". It matches the Rfam family "Bacterial small subunit ribosomal RNA", at positions 29 to 420 of the family's 1533-position model. The record is from RNAcentral.
AUUGAACGCUGGCGGAAUGCUUUACACAUGCAAGUCGAGCGGCAGCGCGGGGGCAACCCUGGCGGCGAGCGGCGAACGGGUGAGUAACAUAUCGGAACGUACCCAGUCGUGGGGGAUAACUAUCCGAAAGGAUAGCUAAUACCGCAUACGUCCUGAGGGAGAAAGCGGGGGAUCGCAAGACCUCGCGCGAUUGGAGCGGCCGAUAUCGGAUUAGCUAGUUGGUGGGGUAAAGGCUCGACCAAGGCGACGAUCCGUAGCGGGUCUGAGAGGACGACCCGCCACACUGGAACUGAGACACGGUCCAGACUCCUACGGGAGGCAGCAGUGGGGAAUUUUGGACAAUGGGGGCAACCCUGAUCCAGCCAUUCCGCGUGAGUGAAGAAGGCCUCGG